This 253-nucleotide ribosomal RNA is filed under the name uncultured bacterium. RNAcentral's name for it is "partial 16S ribosomal RNA". It matches the Rfam family "Bacterial small subunit ribosomal RNA", at positions 524 to 776 of the family's 1533-position model. The record is from RNAcentral.
UACGAAGGGUGCAAGCGUUGUUCGGAAUCACUGGGCGUAAAGAAUGCGUAGGCGGCUUAACAAGUCGGGAGUGAAAGCCCAGGGCUCAACCCUGGAACUGCUCUCGAAACUGUUUUGCUAGAGUCCCGGAGGGGUUAGCGGAAUUCCGAGUGUAGAGGUGAAAUUCGCAGAUAUUCGGAGGAACACCAGUGGCGAAGGCGGCUAACUGGACGGGAACUGACGCUGAAGCAUGAAAGUGUGGGGAUCAAACAGG